UGUCACAUCAGCCAAUAAGGUUGGUUGUCCCGCCCUCCCGCUGCGUGGUGCAGGGAGACUGCUCUGAUUGUAUCAGACGCGGCUUGAGUGAUCCAUGCUACUUGUUGCUUCUGUGGCUAGCUUGGAAAUUAGCAGACGAAACUUGAACAUCAAAGCUUCUGAUGCGACCGGGUUGGAAGCUGGAAAUCUCCGUGUAGCCUCGUGUAGCAUCGGUCAGGUUUUUUGUUGGUGCACUAUUUGAUCCAUAGUGCUACUGUGAAGACUGGAUUGCAUUUCCAGAACUGGAUGGCGAGCCCCAGCCCAAGGAUCGGACAAACCGGUAGAUAGUGACCCGACUGGUCACUAUAACUGAGACAUUGCAUGAACAAUUGAUGGACACUGUGACAAAAGACUAAAAAGGAAAAAAGAUUACAG
Archocentrus centrarchus (flier cichlid) is the source of this 414-nucleotide long non-coding RNA. RefSeq lists it as uncharacterized. The record is from RefSeq and is a predicted model, not a curated record. The transcript has 3 exons. Lineage: Eukaryota; Metazoa; Chordata; Actinopteri; Cichliformes; Cichlidae.